RNAcentral lists this ribosomal RNA (791 nucleotides) under uncultured bacterium. RNAcentral describes it as "bacterial SSU rRNA". It matches the Rfam family "Bacterial small subunit ribosomal RNA", at positions 74 to 863 of the family's 1533-position model. The record is from RNAcentral.
UUGUAGCAAUAUGAUUCAUGAUAGUGGCGCACGGGUGCGUAACGCGUAUGCAACCUACCCUUAACUGGGGGAUAGCCCCGGGAAACCGGGAUUAAUACCGCAUAAUAUAAUUUUGUUGCAUGAUGAGAUUAUUAAAGAUUUAUUGGUUAAGGAUGGGCAUGCGUGCCAUUAGCUAGUUGGCGGGGUAACGGCCCACCAAGGCUACGAUGGCUAGGGGUUCUGAGAGGAUGAUCCCCCACACUGGUACUGAGAUACGGACCAGACUCCUACGGGAGGCAGCAGUAGGGAAUAUUGGUCAAUGGACGCAAGUCUGAACCAGCCAUGCCGCGUGCAGGACGAAGGCCCUCUGGGUUGUAAACUGCUUUUGUACGGGAAGAACAGCCUCCACGAGUUGGGGGUUUGACGGUACUGUAAGAAUAAGGAUCGGCUAACUACGUGCCAGCAGCCGCGGUAAUACGUAGGAUCCGAGCGUUGUCCGGAUUUAUUGGGUUUAAAGGGUGCGCAGGCGGCCCGAUAAGUCAGUGGUGAAAGCCGGCAGCUCAACUGUCGAAUUGCCAUUGAUACUGUUGGGCUUGAGUAUAGUUGAGGUUGGCGGAAUGUAUCAUGUAGCGGUGAAAUGCAUAGAUAUGAUACAGAACACCGAUUGCGAAGGCAGCUGACUAAGCUAUUACUGACGCUCAUGCACGAAAGCGUGGGGAUCAAACAGGAUUAGAUACCCUGGUAGUCCACGCCGUAAACGUUGAUAACUCGAUGUUGGCGAUAUAAUGUCAGCGUCUUAGCGAAAGCGUUAA